UACGAAGGGGGCUAGCGUUGCCCGGAAUCACUGGGCGUAAAGCGCACGUAGGCGGCUUUUUAAGUCAGGGGUGAAAUCCUGGAGCUCAACUCCAGAACUGCCUUUGAUACUGAGAAGCUUGAGUCCGGGAGAGGUGAGUGGAACUGCGAGUGUAGAGGUGAAAUUCGUAGAUAUUCGCAAGAACACCAGUGGCGAAGGCGGCUCACUGGCCCGGUACUGACGCUGAGGUGCGAAAGCGUGGGUAGCAAACAGG
This 253-nucleotide ribosomal RNA is filed under the name uncultured bacterium. RNAcentral describes it as "partial 16S ribosomal RNA". It matches the Rfam family "Bacterial small subunit ribosomal RNA", at positions 524 to 776 of the family's 1533-position model. The record is from RNAcentral.